This 654-nucleotide ribosomal RNA is filed under the name Acarospora chrysops. RNAcentral describes it as "SSU rRNA". It matches the Rfam family "Bacterial small subunit ribosomal RNA", at positions 385 to 1122 of the family's 1533-position model. Lineage: Eukaryota; Fungi; Ascomycota; Lecanoromycetes; Acarosporales; Acarosporaceae. The record is from RNAcentral.
GCUAGUUGUAUUAUUAGUUAAUGCAAGAUCGACUACGUCGACUAAAGUUCUAGGUAGAAUAAUGAUGAUGACAAUUUUUUACCUAUAUGUCUUGACCAAGUCUCGUGCCAGCAGUCGCGGUAAUACGUGGAAGACUAGUGUUAUUCAUCUUUAUUAGGUUUAAAGGGUACCUAGACGGUAUUUCUAGCCCAAAAUAGGGUACGGAUUUACUAGAGUUUUAUGUGAGGAGGGGAGUACUCAUGGAGUAGAGAUGAAAUUUUGUUAUACUAUGAGGUAACUGGUGGCGGCGAAAGCAACCUUCUAUGUAUAAACUGACGUUGAGGGACGAAGGCUUGGGUAGCAAAUAGGAUUAGAUACCCUAGUAGUCCAAGCAGACAAUUCUGAAUGCCAUAGAUUAGAUUAUUUUUGGUCUAUAAAUGAAAGUGUAAGCAUUCCACCUUAGGAGUAAUGUGGCAACACAGGAACUGAAAUCAUUAGACCGUUUCUGAAACCAGUAGUGAAGUAUGUUAUUUAAAUUGAUGGUCCACAAAAAACCUUACCACAACUUGAAUAUUUUUUUAAUUAAUACAAGCGUUGCACGGCUGUCUUCAGUUAAUGUCGUGAGAUUUUGGUUAACUCCAUUAAUUAACGUAAACCCUUACUUUAUUUUUUUUU